This 756-nucleotide ribosomal RNA is filed under the name uncultured bacterium. RNAcentral's name for it is "bacterial SSU rRNA". It matches the Rfam family "Bacterial small subunit ribosomal RNA", at positions 8 to 796 of the family's 1533-position model. The record is from RNAcentral.
AGAGUUUGAUCAUGGCUCAGAAUCAACGCUGGCGGCGUGCCUAACACAUGCAAGUCGAACGAGAAAGUGGAGCAAUCCAUGAGUAAAGUGGCGCACGGGUGAGUAACACGUGACUAACCUACCCUGGAGUGGGGGAUAACUGAGGGAAACCUUAGCUAAUACCGCAUAAUACCUACGGGUCAAAGGAGCAAUUCGCUCCAGGAGGGGGUCGCGGCCGAUUAGUUAGUUGGCGGGGUAAUGGCCCACCAAGACAGUGAUCGGUAUCCGGCCUGAGAGGGCGCACGGACACACUGGAACUGAAACACGGUCCAGACUCCUACGGGAGGCAGCAGUGGGGAAUUUUGCGCAAUGGGGGAAACCCUGACGCAGCAACGCCGCGUGGAGGAUGAAGUCCUUCGGGACGUAAACUCCUUUCGAUCGGGACGAUUAUGACGGUACCGGAAGAAGAAGCCCCGGCUAACUUCGUGCCAGCAGCCGCGGUAAUACGAGGGGGGCGAGCGUUGUUCGGAAUUAUUGGGCGUAAAGGGUGCGUAGGCGGUUUUGUAAGUCUUAUGUGAAAUCUAUGGGCUCAACUCAUAGACUGCAUGAGAAACUGCAGGGCUUGAGUAUGGGAGAGGUGAGUGGAAUUCCUGGUGUAGCGGUGAAAUGCGUAGAUAUCAGGAGGAACACCUGUGGCGAAAGCGGCUCACUGGACCAUAACUGACGCUGAUGCACGAAAGCUAGGGGAGCAAACAGGAUUAGAUACCCUAGUAGUCC